GAAGUGUUAGCUUUUGUUGACUUUCGCUCAUUGACAUGUAGGAAUUUUUCUUUUAAUUUAUUCACGUAGCAUUCGUCGAUACGAACGUAUGGGCGAUAACGAAAUCAAAUUCAGAGCUAAACUGAAGUUUCUACGAAUUUUUAAACGUUAAGUGCAUUUUGGUAAUUUCACAAAUGGAGAUAUUUCUCCAUCUUGGGCCACUCAUGGGGUGACACGUGGUAGGAUUCCCCAUUUUCUGAGGAGUUCUUUUUGUCCCGAGCUCUCUCUCUCUCUAUUAUUUUCUCCAUCAUCUUCUUCUUCUCACUCACCUUUCACUCUUUCUCUCCCUCUCUUGGUCAAACCACAUACACACACACACCUACACUCUUGUCACCACCAUCACUAGCACCUUGGCACUUCGGUGAGCUCUUGAAAGGGAUGAAACCACCACCAACUUCUCUUUUUCCUUUGCAUAGUAGCCUUCACUGCGCAUCACUUUUCUCCGGCGAGUUCUUGCCAUUUUUGACGAACGUAUCCUUGAAAUUGGUCCCUAUCAUUGUAUAUCGUGUCUAGGUUCACGAUUAGUAAGUUUUUGGGUGGUUUUGGUGGUGUAGGAACUCAGAAAACACAAGGGAAAUCACUAUGCAAAAUCUAGAAUUUCAAAACCCUGAUCGUUUGGCCAUUUUCUAGC
This 670-nucleotide long non-coding RNA is filed under the name Malus domestica (apple). RNAcentral's name for it is "long non-coding RNA (MDOM_LNC005896)". Lineage: Eukaryota; Viridiplantae; Streptophyta; Magnoliopsida; Rosales; Rosaceae. The record is from RNAcentral.